This 106-nucleotide small nucleolar RNA is filed under the name Eucalyptus grandis. RNAcentral's name for it is "Plant small nucleolar RNA R71". It matches the Rfam family "Plant small nucleolar RNA R71". Rfam says of the family: R71 is a member of the C/D box family of snoRNAs containing the C (UGAUGA) and D (CUGA) box motifs. Multiple nearly identical copies of this snoRNA have been identified in Arabidopsis, and it is thought to function as a 2'-O-ribose methylation guide for 18S ribosomal RNA. The record is from Rfam by way of RNAcentral. Lineage: Eukaryota; Viridiplantae; Streptophyta; Magnoliopsida; Myrtales; Myrtaceae.
AAUCCAUGAUGUGGGCAUCUCUUAAGAAACUCCUUAAAUCUUUGCCAUGCUUCAAACAAUGAUUCAUUAUCUAUCUACAUAAAAUUAGUAAUAUAGUUAUGUAUUU